RNAcentral lists this ribosomal RNA (998 nucleotides) under Stichotrichia sp. 1 bOmb1. RNAcentral's name for it is "SSU rRNA". It matches the Rfam family "Eukaryotic small subunit ribosomal RNA", at positions 228 to 1247 of the family's 1831-position model. The record is from RNAcentral. Lineage: Eukaryota; Ciliophora; Spirotrichea.
UUCCUUGUGUCUAUUGUGACGACUCAUAAUAACUGAUCGAAUCGCAUGGGCUUUGCCCGCGAUACAUCAUUCAAGUUUCUGCCCCAUCAGCUUUCGAUGGUAGUGUAUUGGACUACCAUGGCUUUCACGGGUAACGGAGGAUUAGGGUUCGAUUCCGGAGAGGGAGCCUGAGAAACGGCUACCACAUCUAAGGAAGGCAGCAGGCGCGUAAAUUACCCAAUCCUGACUCAGGGAGGUAGUGACAAGAAAUAACGGACCGAAGCAUUUGUUUCGGGAUUGCAAUGAGUAGAAUUUAAACCCCUUUACGAGGAUCAAUUGGAGGGCAAGUCUGGUGCCAGCAGCCGCGGUAAUUCCAGCUCCAAUAGCGUAUAUUAAAGUUGUUGCAGUUAAAAAGCUCGUAGUUGGAUUUCUGGAGGGGCGCCAAUGUCCGAUGUUUUCGUGUGCAGCGGUGCCUCUCCAUCCUUCGGUUAACGUUUCUGAUAUUCAUUUAUUGGUCUCGGGCUCCGAUAUUUUACCUUGAGAAAAUUAGAGUGUUCCAGGCAGGCUUGCGCCGGAAUACAUUAGCAUGGAAUAAUAGAAUAGGACUUUAGUCUCCUUUGUUGGUUUGAGGGACUGAAGUAAUGAUUAAUAGGGAUAGUUGGGGGCAUUAGUAUUUAAUUGUCAGAGGUGAAAUUCUCGGAUUUGUUAAAGACUAACUUAUGCGAAAGCAUUUGCCAAGGAUGUUUUCAUUAAUCAAGAACGAAAGUUAGGGGAUCAAAGACGAUCAGAUACCGUCCUAGUCUUAACCAUAAACUAUGCCGACUAGGGAUCGGAGGCGCGCCUUAUCCGCCUUCGGCACCUUAUGAGAAAUCAAAGUCUUUGGGUUCUGGGGGGAGUAUGGUCGCAAGGCUGAAACUUAAAGGAAUUGACGGAAGGGCACCACCAGGAGUGGAGCUUGCGGCUCAAUUUGACUCAACACGGGAAAACUUACCAGGUCCAGACAUAGUGAGGAUGACAGA